GCCACUUUAGCUCAGUUGGUAGAGCUCCUGUCUUGUAAACAGGUGGUCGUCGGUUCAAGUCCGACAAGUGGCUCCA
RNAcentral lists this transfer RNA (76 nucleotides) under Candidatus Peregrinibacteria bacterium. Its description in RNAcentral is "tRNA-Thr". It matches the Rfam family "tRNA". From Rfam's summary of the family: Transfer RNA (tRNA) molecules are approximately 80 nucleotides in length. Their secondary structure includes four short double-helical elements and three loops (D, anti-codon, and T loops). Lineage: Bacteria; Candidatus Peregrinibacteriota. The record is from RNAcentral. RNAcentral also lists the same sequence under 1 other name.